CUCAAUCCCUCGCGCUCUUCCUUUCCAACUUGGACCCGGCAGAAUGGCUCCCGCAAAGAAGGGUGGCAAGAAUAAAAGGGCCGUUCUGCCAUCAACGAGGUGGUGACCCGAGAAUACACCAUCAACAUUCACAAGCACAUCCAUGGAGUGGGCUUCAAGAAGUGUGCCCCUCGGGCACUCAAAGAGCUUCGGAAAUUUGGCAUGAAGGAGAUGGGAACUCCAGAUGCGCGCAUUGAUAUCAGGCUCAACAAAGCUGUCUGGGCCAAAGGAAUAAGAAUGUCCCAUACCGAAUCCGUGUGCGGCUGUCCCGAAAACGUAAUGAGGAUGAAGAUUCACCAAAUAAGCUCUAUACUUUGGUUACCUAUGUACCUGUUGCCACUUUUGAAAAUCUACAGUCAAUGUGGAUGAGAACUAAUCGCUGAUCGUCAAAUACAUCAAAUAAAGUUAUAAAAUUGCCUUCAAAAAAAAAAAGACAUAGGUUCUCGUUGGAUAUGUAGAAAUCGCAGAUUGAAGAGUUUAAUUAUUUGGCUAACAACAGUUACAGAAAUGUAUGCUACAAUGUGUUUGACAAGUCUUAAGUAAUCUUGUUGAGAUAACAAUUUGUAUAAUUUAAAUUAUCUGUUGAAAUUGUGGUUUUCAGCAAAAAUAGAAAAAUUAAGGAACAUUUCAUUCCAGUGGGCACAGGAGUACAGUAAACAGAGAGACUAGUGUGGUAGGGAAAAUAUAUACUUUUUUUUGUAUUAUUCAAGACUAAGAAUGUUACAAAAUAGAAGAGAUUACAAUGUACAAGAUUGCAAACAGAAGGAAGAUGUGAUCAAACAAUCAAAAACUAAUUCUGUGAAAAGACCAAUAAAAAAGACUUCUGACAAGCCUAAUUAAGAUAAACAGAGAUAUAAAGAUGUCUCUUUUAUUUAACCAUUUAACAUUAUUUUUGUCUAAUAUCUAAGAAGUAACAUUGGGAUAACCACAAAUCUUGGUCAUGUUGUUAUAGAAAAUUGGGUAAUAGGGAAUUGAGUUUAUUUCCCUAAAGAAAGGAAUGCUAAUGAAAAGCAAGCUAAUUUUCCUGGAAGAUCUUAGAAAAAGUCCAGGAAUUUGGAGGAAUCAUGUACAACAAAAUAUAUGGUUAAAGAAUGAUUCUAAAAAUGAGAGGAUAAUUGUAAACUCUGUAUAAGGAGAAGUUAGACUCUUAGGGCCUCUCUCCUACCCAGGGUGACUAUUUGCAGGUGACUAAUUUUUCCCUGUCAUAGUUUAAUUCUCAGGAGAAAUUGACCCAGCCAGCAGCUGCAGGUGAAUUCAGGUGAGUUGAGUGAGUAUGAGGUGAGGCAUUAUGGCCUCCACUAUAUCACCUGCAAACCCUUUCUCAGGAUGCCCUGGCAAACAUGCUGCAGCCACACAAGGAAGAAACCAAGAAAUAGGAAGACAUAAGAUUCAGGAAACAGGAUUUCAUAUAAAAGAUAGAGAAGUCCUAGGACAACAGCUGUGCAAGAGGUCCAGAGAUCAAAUGACCGAAAACAGUGUCAAAAAAGGAGGGACAUCUUGCUAAUGGAAAAAAAAAAAA
Long non-coding RNA from Homo sapiens (human), 1558 nucleotides. Ensembl annotates it as ribosomal protein L31 pseudogene 11. Its record names the gene RPL31P11. NCBI's taxonomy places the organism in Eukaryota, Metazoa, Chordata, Mammalia, Primates, Hominidae. The record is from Ensembl.